RNAcentral lists this long non-coding RNA (513 nucleotides) under Gadus morhua (Atlantic cod). RNAcentral describes it as "lncRNA (ENSGMOG00000028641.1)". Lineage: Eukaryota; Metazoa; Chordata; Actinopteri; Gadiformes; Gadidae. The record is from RNAcentral.
AACAUUUUCUUACUUUUACUUUUAUAUAGAGUCUACUUUUUCAAGUUAUUCGGGGUGAGCAACUUUAUUCUAUAAACAUUUUACAGUUAUAAUUUUAUUUCUAACAUGUUGUUGAUGAAACUCUGAUAAACUCUGAUUUAUUUUUCAAUAGAACAAAAAAAAAGAAAUCUUGGACAAACAGAUUUCUAAAAAAUGUGAGGACCUGAUGAAGACUGGCAUUGAACAAAAUACAAAUACCUGGGCUAGAGAUGGACUUUGGGGUCAAGUUUGUACCGGACUUGGCAUUCCAAACACAAAAAUCCAUCGAAUAAGACUUCAAGUAGCACAUCAAUCAUUUAAAAAGCACACAUCUCCAUCAUCUCCAUCGCCACAGGCUAGUGGAAUAGAUGAGCCUGGAGAACAGUAUUCUGAGCACACAUCACCAGGGUCCCUAUCGCCACAGGCUAGUGGAGCAGAUGAACCUGGAUAAGAGUAUUCUGAGCACACAUCGCCAUCAUCUCCAUCGCCACAGGC